Molecule: transfer RNA, 61 nt
Filed under: Ornebius kanetataki
Lineage: Eukaryota; Metazoa; Arthropoda; Insecta; Orthoptera; Mogoplistidae
Description: tRNA-Cys
Source: RNAcentral
GGCUUUAUAUUCAAUUAUGAUUUUAGAUUGCAAAUCUAAAGGUGUAGGUUUACUAAGGCUU